Molecule: ribosomal RNA, 305 nt
Filed under: uncultured bacterium
Lineage: Bacteria
Description: bacterial SSU rRNA
Rfam family: Bacterial small subunit ribosomal RNA
Source: RNAcentral
GCUCCUACGGGAGGCAGCAGCCGCGGUAAUACGCAGGGGGCGAGCGUUGUCCGGAAUCACUGGGCGUAAAGGGCGCGUAGGCGGUAAUAUAAGUCAGAUGUGAAAGGUGGGGGCUCAACCCCUAGAGUGCAACUGAUACUGUAUAACUUGAGUGUGAGAGAGGGAAGCGGAAUUCCUAGUGUAGCGGUGAAAUGCGUAGAUAUUAGGAGGAACACCAGUGGCGAAGGCGGCUUUCUGGCUCAUAACUGACGCUGAGGCGCGAAAGCGUGGGGAGCAAACAGGAUUAGAUACCCUAGUAGUCCGAG